CCCCGCGCCCUGGUCCGCUGGAGGGGCUACGCGCACCGUGCCGCCUCGCCCUGCGAAUCCCAGGGACCCCAGUGCGGUAUAAGCGCGGGAAGCAGGCGAGGGACCCGUUAGACGUGGAGUGGGGACGGAGUGGGGGGCGACAGACUGGGCUGGGAAAUUGCUAACCUGUCCCCGGAGACUGCUUUCUGAGAGCCCUGUCCCUUCCCCGGAAGAGGCCAAUUCCAGAGGGAGGUGAGUUUCCAAAGGAACCCUAGCCCAGAGGCGUCACCCUAGCCACUCAGUGACAGAACCCGGGACCCUGUGCAGAGGGGUCGGUAGUUGGGCGAGGUAGUCAAAGUGCUAUGGGGCGUGAAAAGACCGCUUCCUAAGAGCUGGGGUACAGAAAAAGGAGCUGGGGGAAGUAGGUGAGAAGAGAGACCACGUGGGUCCCUCAGCGCCUGCGUCGGGUGGCUGAGCCGGGCGCGGGUUGGAUUUGGGGGACAGUGCCCUCCACGUAGGGGAAGGCUCGUGGUCUCAGGAUCCGGGGUGAGGAAAGGCAGGUCUGAGGUGCCUGACUUGGUGUUGAGGACCGCGACUCCUUCCUCUUUCCCCCCAAAUCCCUUAGAUGACAGCAGGCGCCCGCCCCGGACAAUCUGAUUCUGGGCAGGGCGCAGCGGGGCUGGCAGGCGCCCGGGGAGGCAGGGAAGUUGCUUCCAAGGACUGGCCGCCCUCAACCUCCUUUAACACACAGCCGGGUGCAGCAGGGCAGCGGCGGACAUUUGUUUCCCAACUCUGGUCAAUGUGAAAGCAGCAACCCGUGCGUCCUGGACCCCAAGGUGGCUGUGUACCGUCGAGGUUUCUAACACUGCUUCCUUGGCAAAAGCGAUAACAAUACCGUGUAUCGGGAUGAGACUAAAGCCAGACGGCAACAACACAGCACACUUUCCCGGGCAGCGCCAGUGCGAGGUGCUUUGAAAGCACACGAGGCAACCCCGGAGGCCGAAGUGGAAGGGUCUCGCCCCGUGGGGCUGCUACCCUGUCUCAUCAUCGCUCCUUGGAGCCCUCCACUGACGGCACCAUCAGAUCGCCUCUCGCACACCGCUCUGCUAUGGCUUAGAUCCUCAGAGCUCUUCAGCAUAUUCUGCAUCUUCCCUCUAACUUGGAAAAAAAAGUUGUGAAAUGGGAUCCUGCCUUCAUAAUUCUGAAGGUUCCUUUCUACACUUUAUAUCUCGUGGCAGACAAUAUGUAUAACUCUACUGCACAUGUCCAAAGGCAC
Molecule: long non-coding RNA, 1255 nt
Filed under: Heterocephalus glaber (naked mole-rat)
Lineage: Eukaryota; Metazoa; Chordata; Mammalia; Rodentia; Bathyergidae
Description: lncRNA (ENSHGLG00100051982.1)
Source: RNAcentral